RNAcentral lists this ribosomal RNA (1510 nucleotides) under Klebsiella pneumoniae. RNAcentral describes it as "bacterial SSU rRNA". It matches the Rfam family "Bacterial small subunit ribosomal RNA". Lineage: Bacteria; Pseudomonadati; Pseudomonadota; Gammaproteobacteria; Enterobacterales; Enterobacteriaceae. The record is from RNAcentral.
AGAGUUUGAUCAUGGCUCAGAUUGAACGCUGGCGGCAGGCCUAACACAUGCAAGUCGAGCGGUAGCACAGAGAGCUUGCUCUCGGGUGACGAGCGGCGGACGGGUGAGUAAUGUCUGGGAAACUGCCUGAUGGAGGGGGAUAACUACUGGAAACGGUAGCUAAUACCGCAUAAUGUCGCAAGACCAAAGUGGGGGACCUUCGGGCCUCAUGCCAUCAGAUGUGCCCAGAUGGGAUUAGCUAGUAGGUGAGGUAACGGCUCACCUAGGCGACGAUCCCUAGCUGGUCUGAGAGGAUGACCAGCCACACUGGAACUGAGACACGGUCCAGACUCCUACGGGAGGCAGCAGUGGGGAAUAUUGCACAAUGGGCGCAAGCCUGAUGCAGCCAUGCCGCGUGUGUGAAGAAGGCCUUCGGGUUGUAAAGCACUUUCAGCGGGGAGGAAGGCGNCGAUUGACGUUACCCGCAGAAGAAGCACCGGCUAACUCCGUGCCAGCAGCCGCGGUAAUACGGAGGGUGCAAGCGUUAAUCGGAAUUACUGGGCGUAAAGCGCACGCAGGCGGUCUGUCAAGUCGGAUGUGAAAUCCCCGGGCUCAACCUGGGAACUGCAUUCGAAACUGGCAGGCUAGAGUCUUGUAGAGGGGGGUAGAAUUCCAGGUGUAGCGGUGAAAUGCGUAGAGAUCUGGAGGAAUACCGGUGGCGAAGGCGGCCCCCUGGACAAAGACUGACGCUCAGGUGCGAAAGCGUGGGGAGCAAACAGGAUUAGAUACCCUGGUAGUCCACGCCGUAAACGAUGUCGAUUUGGAGGUUGUGCCCUUGAGGCGUGGCUUCCGGAGCUAACGCGUUAAAUCGACCGCCUGGGGAGUACGGCCGCAAGGUUAAAACUCAAAUGAAUUGACGGGGGCCCGCACAAGCGGUGGAGCAUGUGGUUUAAUUCGAUGCAACGCGAAGAACCUUACCUGGUCUUGACAUCCACAGAACUUUCCAGAGAUGGAUUGGUGCCUUCGGGAACUGUGAGACAGGUGCUGCAUGGCUGUCGUCAGCUCGUGUUGUGAAAUGUUGGGUUAAGUCCCGCAACGAGCGCAACCCUUAUCCUUUGUUGCCAGCGGUUNGGCCGGGAACUCAAAGGAGACUGCCAGUGAUAAACUGGAGGAAGGUGGGGAUGACGUCAAGUCAUCAUGGCCCUUACGACCAGGGCUACACACGUGCUACAAUGGCAUAUACAAAGAGAAGCGACCUCGCGAGAGCAAGCGGACCUCAUAAAGUAUGUCGUAGUCCGGAUUGGAGUCUGCAACUCGACUCCAUGAAGUCGGAAUCGCUAGUAAUCGUAGAUCAGAAUGCUACGGUGAAUACGUUCCCGGGCCUUGUACACACCGCCCGUCACACCAUGGGAGUGGGUUGCAAAAGAAGUAGGUAGCUUAACCUUCGGGAGGGCGCUUACCACUUUGUGAUUCAUGACUGGGGUGAAGUCGUAACAAGGUAACCGUAGGGGAACCUGCGGUUGGAUCACCU